Anopheles gambiae (African malaria mosquito) is the source of this 1704-nucleotide long non-coding RNA. RefSeq lists it as uncharacterized. Lineage: Eukaryota; Metazoa; Arthropoda; Insecta; Diptera; Culicidae. The record is from RefSeq and is a predicted model, not a curated record. The transcript has 2 exons.
UUGGCGGGAAGGCCAUACCCAAGCGGAAAUUUUCGGACGAUAACUCAUACACUCUCAUAAUUUGACAAGCAAUAUAUGAUUGUAUGUGUGGUUCUUCCAUUCGUAACAUUUCGCUCUCCAAGCCAAGCGUUGAAGCAGGUUGUGUGUAUUUCUUUUUGUGUAUUACGUUUAGCUUGCAUCAGUUGUGUUCUUUCGUAUCGUAUCAUUCAUAUAAAUACCAACAAUUUAAAAACUAUUUAACCUCAAAAUGUGUAACGCUAGACGUGCAAUGAAGAUAGCAAAUAUGCCAUUGCACGCUGUUGUGGUUAUGUGCCGAAAAAAAUCUGAAUCUCGUACACUGUUUCGUUUGUCAAAUCGUGCACGAAAUAUCAAUCGAAAAAACAGCCGAAAAGUGACAUUUUCACUCGUUUGGGUAUGUGCCGAAAAAAGUCUGAAUUUCGUACACUAUUUCGUUUGUCAAAUCGUGCACGAAAUAUCAAUCGAAAACACAGCCGAAAAGUGACUUUUUCACUCGCUUGGGUAUGUGCCGAAAAAAAUCUGAAUCUCGUACACUGUUUCGUUUGUCAAAUCGUGCACGAAAUAUCAAUCGAAAAAACAGCCGAAAAGUGACAUUUUCACUCGUUUGGGUAUGUGCCGAAAAAAGUCUGAAUUUCGUACACUAUUUCGUUUGUCAAAUCGUGCACGAAAUAUCAAUCGAAAACACCCAAAUGACAAUCCAGCCUGCUCUCACUAUGGCGAGCUCAAUGACAGCUGCUUCAACUCAUACUGAGAGGCUAUCAUCGUUUCCUCCUGCGUACUGAGCAAGCUUGUUUUUUCCCCUCGCUGAGGCGAGAUGAUUUUGUUUGUAUGGUGAGCAAAUCUAUCGCCGAUGAUUGCUCUAAUGAGAUGAUCAAGCAACAGCCGCUCACAUGAUGAAAUCAUGAUGAGGUCGGAUUUUGGAGUGAGUAAAAAUUUCUUCCCCACAUCGAGCCGUGUGAUUGUGUUGUGGUUUUAGGAGAACAUUGGAUCAUCUACGAAUUGUUUACAUUUGUAAAACGUGCAAUAAUUGACCGUGGGCUACAUUUCUCGAUUCUUUUGUUGAAACAGCAUAUCAAAUAUCCCAAAUCAGUUAAAAUAUAGUGAAAUGUUGUAUCGGACACACGAUGCUUUGAAGAAAACGUGAGGGCAAACAUGGGAAGAUGAUGAACAUUUUCCCUUACUAAUAGUUGAUUUACAGCCUCUUGGCAUCAACAAAACAUGAAGCAGCGUUUAACGAUGAAGAAGAUACCCAGUUGUGCGAUGACCAUUAACCGUUAACGUUGGAAAUUAAGAGGAAUAUUACAUGGAUCGAAAAUACCUAGAGAGCCUAGAACCUACCUAACACCCAGAAAUACCGCAUCGAGUCGAAUUUAGAACGUAAAUAAUCGUCCACAAAAGGCCAUCUUUUGGAUUGUGGGUGAUUGUUAGCAGUGGCGGAUUAAGACGAGUGGAGGCCCUAAGCGAUCACACGAAAUUAGAGGCUUGAUUGAAGCGUGUAGCAAAGGAUUGUAUCAAAUGUCCUAACCAGAGAUUGAGUAGCAAUUUUACUUGUGAGCGGGGCGUAGGUGCCAUUUUUGGGGCCCCUGGCCGACACAGAUGUUCGACACUUAAACAACUGAAUACGAUGGAACACAUUAAAACUGAGAGAAAUACACAUCUAAUCAAUUACUUUAAAAAAUAAUAUAA